GACGAACGCUGGCGGCGUGCUUAACACAUGCAAGUCGAACGGAAAGGCCCUGCUUGCAGGGUACUCGAGUGGCGAACGGGUGAGUAACACGUGGGUGAUCUGCCCUGCACUUCGGGAUAAGCCUGGGAAACUGGGUCUAAUACCGGAUAGGAGCCAUUUUUAGUGUGAUGGUUGGAAAGUUUUUUCGGUGUAGGAUGAGCUCGCGGCCUAUCAGCUUGUUGGUGGGGUAAUGGCCUACCAAGGCGGCGACGGGUAGCCGGCCUGAGAGGGUGGACGGCCACAUUGGGACUGAGAUAAGGCCCAGACUCCUACGGGAGGCAGCAGUGGGGAAUAUUGCACAAUGGGCGCAAGCCUGAUGCAGCGACGCCGCGUGGGGGAUGACGGCCUUCGGGUUGUAAACUCCUUUCGCUAGGGACGAAGCUUUUUGUGACGGUACCUAGAUAAGAAGCACAGGCUAACUACGU
This 464-nucleotide ribosomal RNA is filed under the name uncultured bacterium. RNAcentral describes it as "partial 16S ribosomal RNA". It matches the Rfam family "Bacterial small subunit ribosomal RNA", at positions 28 to 506 of the family's 1533-position model. The record is from RNAcentral.